This 1173-nucleotide long non-coding RNA is filed under the name Homo sapiens (human). Its description in RNAcentral is "CYP1B1 antisense RNA 1". Lineage: Eukaryota; Metazoa; Chordata; Mammalia; Primates; Hominidae. The record is from RNAcentral.
ACCCGGACUCCCGUCCAGGCGCACCGGCCGGCCUCGGAGCUCUACCAGCAGGCUUUCAUGGGAGCGGAGGUGCCCACGUUUCCAUUGUGCGGUAACCGCGCUUCAUCACAGCCACCUCCAAUCGAGGCCGCACGGUGUCCCCAGAACCACGCUCGGUACAACCUGCCCCGGCCGCUGCGCUCGACUUGGGAGCGCGCCCCGCCCCGAGCGCACGACCUCCCUUCCCUCUCCGCGACUUGAGCUUGCUUCCCGGAAAGCCAGUGUAGUGGCAGCGGUUUGCCUCACAGCGCCCCUGGCAGCACUGAGAAGUGAAGGAAUAUUUGGGAGGAUCAGAAGCUUGGUCCUGAUUUUGCCAUCAACAGGAACUUGAUGACUUCAAGGGAGUCCCCAAACCCUGGGUUUCUGUUUUCUCAACUCUAACAUGAGGGGCUAGAUGCAUCUGGUUUAGUUAGUCUCCAUGAUGGUUUAGUUCGUCUCCAUGAUCCUGUGAAUUUCAGAUGUUGAAAAUCUUCGGAAAAGCCCUGAAAGAUGAACAGUCUUCACCAACCUCCUCCCUCCAGAAUAUUCCUCAAGAAUAUAAAAUGCCUCAUCAACAUGAGACAACAGCAGGAAGCACCCAUUCGUAGUAAUCCUCUGUAUGGAGGAGGCUGUUACAUAACCACAAAGGCACAAAGCUGCAGUUUUGAGAACAUCUUCCCACGCCAGUUCUAAGCAUUGACUUCAACUAUGGUUGCUAACACAAGAAUCGGCACUGGUGACUUUUGAGCCAUCAAUCAUCCUUUCCUAACACAUGAAUCUUUUGGAAAAUGGUCUCAAAUAGUCAAGACCCCCUGCUGGGAGGAGCUUCUAUCCUGCUCUGUGGAAGAAAUGGGCAUGCCAGAUGCCUGGAAGAUCAGAGGCUCACAUUCCAGGUGGCCCACCAGGUGUCAACAACUGUAGAGUUCCAUCAAGAGUCAUCAUUUUACAGUUACAAGUCGGAGGGGCCUUCACAGAUCCGUCAGGCUCAACACUGCCUCCUUAGUGAGCCUGUGAACCACCCAAGACGGCUGGUCAUCAGUGUCAUCCUCUUCCUUUUCCGGACAACUAUCUUUAAAAGAAAAAAAAAGAGUGUCUUUGAAUGUAUCCAUUUUAUCCCCAAAUAAUCUUGUUUAAUAAAUUCCUUAUUAGGCCAAA